UACGUAGGGGGCAAGCGUUGUCCGGAAUCAUUGGGCGUAAAGCGCGUGUAGGCGGUUCGGUAAGUCCGCUGUGAAAGUCGGGGGCUCAACCCUCGAAGGCCGGUGGAUACUGUCGGGCUAGAGUGCGGAAGAGGCGAGUGGAAUUCCUGGUGUAGCGGUGAAAUGCGCAGAUAUCAGGAGGAACACCAAUUGCGAAGGCAGCUCGCUGGGACGUUACUGACGCUGAGACGCGAAAGCGUGGGGAGCAAACAGG
Molecule: ribosomal RNA, 253 nt
Filed under: uncultured bacterium
Lineage: Bacteria
Description: partial 16S ribosomal RNA
Rfam family: Bacterial small subunit ribosomal RNA
Source: RNAcentral